UCGAAUAACGGAGGUGCCGGGGCUGUCGCUAAAACUUUUGUGCACGCCCCGGUGCUCUCUCACAAUCCAUCUCACCCCCUUGUGCAUCACCGCGUGGGUGCUCUCCUUUCUGAAAGGGGGCAUUUGCGCUUUUAUACGGACCCACCGCAUGUGUAGAAUGUGUUACUGUUUGCAAUAAUAUGCGAUCAAUA
This 191-nucleotide unclassified non-coding RNA is filed under the name uncultured Russula. Its description in RNAcentral is "sequence contains ITS1". Lineage: Eukaryota; Fungi; Basidiomycota; Agaricomycetes; Russulales; Russulaceae. The record is from RNAcentral.